Long non-coding RNA from Oncorhynchus tshawytscha (Chinook salmon), 1501 nucleotides. The record is from Ensembl. NCBI's taxonomy places the organism in Eukaryota, Metazoa, Chordata, Actinopteri, Salmoniformes, Salmonidae.
UGUCCAUUGGUCGUCGUGACAGAAUAAUCGACCCAACAUAUGGAGACAGCAGGGAAGGCCGAGCUUGCGACCAUUGUAGGGACAGUACAGCACCACGAGGACUGUCUCUCCAGACUUGGGGUCGCCAUGGACAGUGUGCUGGCAACCGUCCUGCUCUUGGCGCCGAUCCGCAGAAUACCCCUGUCCCUCCCGGAGCGCUUUGACGGUGUGCCAGCAAGAUGCAAGGGGUUCCUUCUACAAUACAACCUGUACCUCGCUCUCUACCCCGAGGAUGUUUCCGGAAGAGACAGGGUUGCCACCGUCUUCUCGGCACUGACCGGGCGGACUCUGGACUGUGCCGCGGUCUGGGAGUCCUACGAGCGCUUCACCCUUCUCUUCCGCUCUGUGUUUGAUCAUCCUGUGGAGGGCCGAGUGGGAGGUGAGCGUCUACUCCGACUACGCCAGGGAGCUAGGACCGCCUCGGAGUUCGCCCUGGAGUUCCGGACCAUCGCGGCUUCCACCGGAUGGAAUGAGUUGGCUCUGGUACCGUUUUCCGCAGCGGACUGUGGGAGGAGGUACAGCUGGAGUUAGCCUGCCGUGAUGACAACCUGUCACUCGACCAGCUCAUCAGCAUGGUGAUCCGGUUGGACAACCUCCUGUAGUCCCGAAGUAAACCUGCGAGGAAUCCGGAACCCAUGGCUACACCUGCUCCGUGGUGGGCUCGGCACGUGGUGGGCUCAGCUCGGCAGAGCAUAGGAGAAGGAGGAAUCUGGGCUUCUGCUUCUAUUGUGAGGAAAGGGGUCAUUUCUCCCCGAGCUGCUCUUUAUUCACUAGGAGGCAAGGAGCUGACAAGCCAAGGACUUCUCCUGCGCUAACCCAGGUAGGAGGCAAGGUCUCCUCUCCUUGUCUGUCAAAUCAACCAGUGUGUUUUCCUGUUAAAUUCCCUGAGUACUCUCGCCCUUCACUCCCGUUAGCUCUGAUUGAUUCCGGAACUGCCGGGAUUUUUUAAGAUAGCGCACUAGCCACAGCAUUACGCAUCCCUUUGGUUCCCCUACAGUCACCCAUUCCGGUUCGAUCCCUGGAUAAUCGUCCAAUAAGGACAGGGCUCAUACAUCACAUUACUGUUCCUGUUUCUUUGCUGACCCAGGACACUCAUUCAGAACAGAUCACCUUCUUGAUUAUAGACGGGUUGAGUUUGCAUCCAGUUAUUUCCUGGUCCGAUAGGAGACUGCUGGUUUGGUCGCAGGAGUGUCAGGGGAGGUGUCUUGUGGUGUCUGUCAACACCGCUACGGUGGAAAGUCCGGACUGUGUUCCUCAAGUGGAUUUACCGGAGGAGUACCAGGAUCUGCACCACGUUUUUUCUAAGACCCAGGCUACACGCCUGUCUCCCCAUCACCCCUGGGAUGGUGCCAUUGACCUGUUGUCUGAUGCAGCUCUCCCAAGAGGACAUCCCCUCUCCUAUGCGAAGUCCAAGGCCAUGGAGACCUACUGUGUGUAUAUAUAUAUAUAUAUAUAUAUAUAU